UACGUAGGGAGCAAGCGUUGUCCGGAAUCAUUGGGCGUAAAGCGCGCGUAGGUGGCUUCGUAAGUCCGCUGUGAAAGUCAAAGGCUCAACCUUUGAAUGCCGGUGGAUACUGUCGGGCUAGAGUCCGGAAGAGGCGAGUGGAAUUCCUGGUGUAGCGGUGGAAUGCGCAGAUAUCAGGAGGAACACCAAUAGCGAAGGCAGCUCGCUGGGACGGUACUGACGCUAAGGCGCGAAAGCGUGGGGAGCGAACAGG
This 253-nucleotide ribosomal RNA is filed under the name uncultured bacterium. Its description in RNAcentral is "partial 16S ribosomal RNA". It matches the Rfam family "Bacterial small subunit ribosomal RNA", at positions 524 to 776 of the family's 1533-position model. The record is from RNAcentral.